UACCAGCACCCCGAGUGGUCGGGACGAUUAUUGGGCCUAAAGCAUCCGUAGCCGGUUUUACAAGUCCUCCGUUAAAUCCAACUGCUUAACAGAUGGGCCGCGGAGGAUACUAUAAGACUAGGAGGCAGGAGAGGCAAGCGGUACUCAGUGGGUAGGGGUAAAAUCCGUUGAUCCAUUGAAGACCACCAGUGGCGAAGGCGGCUUGCCAGAAUGCGCUCGACGGUGAGGGAUGAAAGCUAGGGGAGCGAACGGG
RNAcentral lists this ribosomal RNA (253 nucleotides) under uncultured bacterium. RNAcentral's name for it is "partial 16S ribosomal RNA". It matches the Rfam family "Archaeal small subunit ribosomal RNA", at positions 474 to 727 of the family's 1478-position model. The record is from RNAcentral.